Non-coding RNA from Dipodomys ordii (Ord's kangaroo rat), 72 nucleotides. Lineage: Eukaryota; Metazoa; Chordata; Mammalia; Rodentia; Heteromyidae. The record is from Rfam.
GUGAAGGUGGCUCAAUGGUAGAGCGCUUGCCUUGCAUGCAUGAGGCCCUAGAUUCUAUUCCUCAGCACCACA